CCUACGGGUGGCAGCAGUGGGGAAUAUUGCACAAUGGGGGAAACCCUGAUGCAGCGACGCCGCGUGAGUGAAGAAGUAUUUCGGUAUGUAAAGCUCUAUCAGCAGGGGAGAAAAUUACGGUACGUGAGCAAGAAGGCGCGGAUAACUACGUGACAGAAGCCGCGGCAAUGCGUAGGGAGCAAGCGUUAUCCGGAUUUACUGGGUGUCAAGGGGGCGUAGACGGCAGCACAAGUCUGGAGUGAAAUGCCGGGGCUUAACCCCGGACCUGCGUUGGAAACUGUGUAGCUAGAGUGCAGGAGAGGUAAGUGGAAUUCCUAGUGUAGCGGUGACAUGCGUAGAUAUUAGGCGGAACACCAGUGGCGAAGGCGGCUUACUGGACUGUAUCUGACGUUGAGGCUCGAACGCGUGGGGAGCAAACAGGAUUAGAUACCCUUGUAGUC
Molecule: ribosomal RNA, 440 nt
Filed under: uncultured bacterium
Lineage: Bacteria
Description: partial 16S ribosomal RNA
Rfam family: Bacterial small subunit ribosomal RNA
Source: RNAcentral